Molecule: ribosomal RNA, 491 nt
Filed under: uncultured bacterium
Lineage: Bacteria
Description: partial 16S ribosomal RNA
Rfam family: Bacterial small subunit ribosomal RNA
Source: RNAcentral
AGUGAACGCUGGCGGUAGGCCUAACACAUGCAAGUCGAACGGCAGCACAGUAAGAGCUUGCUCUUACGGGUGGCGAGUGGCGGACGGGUGAGGCAUACAUCGGAAUCUACUUUUUCGUGGGGGAUAACGUAGGGAAACUUACGCUAAUACCGCAUACGACCUACGGGUGAAAGCAGGGGAUCUUCGGACCUUGCGCGAUUGAAUGAGCCGAGGUCGGAUUAGCUAGUUGGCAGGGUAAAGGCCCACCAAGGCGACGAUCCGUAGCUGGUCUGAGCGGAUGGUCGGCCACACGGGAACUGGGACACGGGCCAGACUCCUACGGGAGGAAGCAGUGGGGAAUAUUGGACAAUGGGCGCAAGCCUGAUCCAGCCAGACCGCGGGGGUGAAGAAGGCCUUCGGGUUGUAAAGCCCUUUUGUUGGGAAAGAAAAGCAGCAGGUUAAGACCCCGCUGUUCUGACGGUACCCAAAGAAUAAGCACCGGCUAACUUCGU